GAGGGUUGGGCGGAGGCUUUCC
RNAcentral lists this microRNA (22 nucleotides) under Bos taurus (domestic cattle). RNAcentral's name for it is "bta-miR-296-3p". Its record names the gene bta-miR-296-3p. The record is from miRBase by way of RNAcentral. Lineage: Eukaryota; Metazoa; Chordata; Mammalia; Artiodactyla; Bovidae.